RNAcentral lists this ribosomal RNA (1469 nucleotides) under Weissella confusa. RNAcentral describes it as "bacterial SSU rRNA". It matches the Rfam family "Bacterial small subunit ribosomal RNA". The record is from RNAcentral. Lineage: Bacteria; Bacillati; Bacillota; Bacilli; Lactobacillales; Lactobacillaceae.
GGGGUGCUAUACAUGCAAGUCGAACGCUUUGUGGUUCAACUGAUUUGAAGAGCUUGCUCAGAUAUGACGAUGGACAUUGCAAAGAGUGGCGAACGGGUGAGUAACACGUGGGAAACCUACCUCUUAGCAGGGGAUAACAUUUGGAAACAGAUGCUAAUACCGUAUAACAAUGACAACCGCAUGGUUGUUAUUUAAAAGAUGGUUCUGCUAUCACUAAGAGAUGGUCCCGCGGUGCAUUAGCUAGUUGGUAAGGUAAUGGCUUACCAAGGCGAUGAUGCAUAGCCGAGUUGAGAGACUGAUCGGCCACAAUGGGACUGAGACACGGCCCAUACUCCUACGGGAGGCAGCAGUAGGGAAUCUUCCACAAUGGGCGAAAGCCUGAUGGAGCAACGCCGCGUGUGUGAUGAAGGGUUUCGGCUCGUAAAACACUGUUGUAAGAGAAGAAUGACAUUGAGAGUAACUGUUCAAUGUGUGACGGUAUCUUACCAGAAAGGAACGGCUAAAUACGUGCCAGCAGCCGCGGUAAUACGUAUGUUCCAAGCGUUAUCCGGAUUUAUUGGGCGUAAAGCGAGCGCAGACGGUUAUUUAAGUCUGAAGUGAAAGCCCUCAGCUCAACUGAGGAAUUGCUUUGGAAACUGGAUGACUUGAGUGCAGUAGAGGAAAGUGGAACUCCAUGUGUAGCGGUGAAAUGCGUAGAUAUAUGGAAGAACACCAGUGGCGAAGGCGGCUUUCUGGACUGUAACUGACGUUGAGGCUCGAAAGUGUGGGUAGCAAACAGGAUUAGAUACCCUGGUAGUCCACACCGUAAACGAUGAGUGCUAGGUGUUUGAGGGUUUCCGCCCUUAAGUGCCGCAGCUAACGCAUUAAGCACUCCGCCUGGGGAGUACGACCGCAAGGUUGAAACUCAAAGGAAUUGACGGGGACCCGCACAAGCGGUGGAGCAUGUGGUUUAAUUCGAAGCAACGCGAAGAACCUUACCAGGUCUUGACAUCCCUUGACAACUCCAGAGAUGGAGCGUUCCCUUCGGGGACAAGGUGACAGGUGGUGCAUGGUUGUCGUCAGCUCGUGUCGUGAGAUGUUGGGUUAAGUCCCGCAACGAGCGCAACCCUUAUUACUAGUUGCCAGCAUUCAGUUGGGCACUCUAGUGAGACUGCCGGUGACAAACCGGAGGAAGGUGGGGAUGACGUCAAAUCAUCAUGCCCCUUAUGACCUGGGCUACACACGUGCUACAAUGGCGUAUACAACGAGUUGCCAACCCGCGAGGGUGAGCUAAUCUCUUAAAGUACGUCUCAGUUCGGAUUGUAGGCUGCAACUCGCCUACAUGAAGUCGGAAUCGCUAGUAAUCGCGGAUCAGCACGCCGCGGUGAAUACGUUCCCGGGUCUUGUACACACCGCCCGUCACACCAUGAGAGUUUGUAACACCCAAAGCCGGUGGGGUAACCUUCGGGAGCCAGCCGUCUAAGGUGGAC